UGAUGUCUAUGGGAGGCAGCAGUGAGGAAUAUUGGUCAAUGGCCGAGAGGCUGAACCAGCCACGUCGCGUGAGGGAUGACGGCCCUACGGGUUGUAAACCUCUUUUGUCGGGGAGCAAGACCCGCCUCGUGCAGGCGGAGCGAGAGUACCCGAAGAAAAAGCAUCGGCUAACUCCGUGCCAGCAGCCGCGGUAAUACGGAGGAUGCGAGCGUUAUCCGGAUUUAUUGGGUUUAAAG
RNAcentral lists this ribosomal RNA (236 nucleotides) under uncultured bacterium. RNAcentral describes it as "partial 16S ribosomal RNA". It matches the Rfam family "Bacterial small subunit ribosomal RNA", at positions 333 to 565 of the family's 1533-position model. The record is from RNAcentral.